GAUGAACGCUGGCGGCGUGCUUAACACAUGCAAGUCGAACGGAAAGGCCCAAGCUUGCUUGGGUACUCGAGUGGCGAACGGGUGAGUAACACGUGGGUGAUCUGCCCUGCACUUCGGGAUAAGCCUGGGAAACUGGGUCUAAUACCGGAUAGGACCACAUUUUGGAUGGUGUGGUGGAAAGUUUUUCGGUGUGGGAUGAGCUCGCGGCCUAUCAUCUUGUUGGUGGGGUAAUGGCCUACCAAGGCGUCGACGGGUAGCCGGCCUGCGAGGGUGUACGGGCACAAUGGGACUGGGAUACGGCCCAGACUCCUACGGGAGGCAGCAGUGGGGAAUAUUGCACAAUGGGCGCAAGCCUGAUGCAGCGACGCCGCGUGGGGGAGGACGGCCUUCGGGUUGUAAACUCCUUUCGCUAGGGACGAAGCGUUAUGUGACGGUACCUGGAGAAGAAGCACCGGCUAACUACGUG
This 466-nucleotide ribosomal RNA is filed under the name uncultured bacterium. Its description in RNAcentral is "partial 16S ribosomal RNA". It matches the Rfam family "Bacterial small subunit ribosomal RNA", at positions 28 to 507 of the family's 1533-position model. The record is from RNAcentral.